UUUUCUUUCAGUUCAUCAGUGCAUUUGUUGGAACUCUUUUGGUUUCAAAUAACAGACAUCAACUUGAGCCAGCAGAAACGAAUAAAGAGACUGAAUUAUAAAGCUCUCGGAGUGUCUGGAGAAGCAUAAUGGCAGGACUGCAGCUGGGCUGCAAGAAGAACCUAGGGGACUGAAAAGCUUUCAGAACAUUUCCUCUCCUCUUGAAUUGACUGGCUUUCCCUGGUCCCUCUUCCACAAGGAGACAAACGUGGCUCUGUAUGUGGGCUUUGCUGCGGACAUGCGGUGAACUGGCCAUUUCUGAAGCAGAGGGCAUGGUGACGGUUGGGAGUAGGGAGCGGCUGGAUGUAGAUUUGGGACGUGGGCGAGGGCCAGGUCCAAGUUGAUUUUAACAAGUGGGAAUUUUAUCCUGAAGGCAAUGCAUGGCAGAGCCACUGAAGCGAGUAGAGUAGAACAAGCACAGGUCCACCGCGAUUAGAUCACCCUGGUGCUAUUGCGAAACAGACCUGAGGGGGCAAAACCAGAGCGGGUAGAGUAGUUAGGACACUAUUGCAACACGUGUUCUGGGAACGAGAUUCGGAAGUCCUUCUGGGGGUGGGACUAGAGAGGAGUGGACUGGAGAACAAUUGAAGAGGUAGGUCCGCAGGAGUCGUCAUAGAUGGGCUACGGGGAGAGGGAGGAAGACUCUACAGUGACCGCCAGGUUGUUGGCCCUGACGACUGGCUAAAGGACGCUGAUAUUAAGUGUGAUGGGGGUUAGGGGAGAAGGAGCAAAUUUUGUUUUGGGGCGGGAGGAGAUGAAAUCACACUGUCUCCAUAGAAAUCACACUGUCUCCACAGCAUGGCUGGGGCUAGCCUGAUUGUACGUAUAGCAAAUUAAGUUAACUUGGUGUUUGUUGAGUUUGGGAUGCUCAACUCAUGAUGCCCAGGACACCAAGAGCAUUUGAUUCUGUCCCUCUGGGAGAAUCAGCCCCGGAGAUUUACGGUCGAUCUGGGACCCAUCAGCAUAAAAUACGGUCAUUCCAUUAUGACUCUGAAUAUGACCCAAGGGGAGCAUGGGAUAGGAAAGGACAGUUGACACAGGAUGGAAACGUGUAAAAUACCAGCAGGUGAUGGGAGUGGGAGAAGGGACUGAGGAAGAGGGGCUCACGAAGGAGUCAGAGAAAGAGAUACUCAGCAGUGUUAACACAGCAGAGAGGCUUAAUGAGAUGACUAAAAGAUGUCCAGUCACUUAUUUAGCCAUGAAUUAUUUGUUAAGCACCUCCUGUAUUUACCUGCUGUAGCAGUUAAGAGCUCAGACGUUAAAGCCAGGCUGUGUGUAUGUAUAUAUCAUUAGCGUAAGUAUAUGCUAAUAAUCAUGCUGUUAUUAUCAUGUAUCAGCCACUCUUCAGAACUCCAGGGAUACAGCUGUGAACAAAGCGGACUAGGUCUCUGCUCUUAUGGAAUUGCCAUUCUAUUUCGAGAACUGGACCUCUUCGGCUGAUUCAUGCAAGAUGACUCGUUAGCUGUUUAAUCAAGUCCUCCUGCAUUUGGCAUAGGGUUAGGAAGUAUGAAAGCUGGUAUGGCCUAUAAGCAGACCGCUGUCCGAGGAAUAUGCCAUCCAAGACCUAAAGCUUGCAUGGUGACAGAUAUCCUUUCAGGCCAGUUGCCAACUCUGAGAAGUCUCUGAGAGAAAUAGCACCUUGACGGAACUGCAGAGAAGAAACUUCCCGUGAUUCUGCAAAGCACAAAGCAGCCACAGGUGAGGCCUGGACCCAUGUGAGGGAGCCUGCGAGGGAGCCCGCGGUUGCCCAGGUGGGCAUUUGGACCGCACAGGACUUCUUGUAACCUGAGCAAAGUAGCAUGUGGCGGUCUCAGGUUUUCAAGUGACCGUCCCUGCUCUGUCUGUCAUUCUCUUGCUGUCUGAGCUGCCACCUCUUGGACCUCUGCUUCCCUCCUGAGUGAAAUGGCUCACACACUCGUGCCUUGCUCACAGUGUUGUUGUAAGGACCAAAUGAUAUUCAUAAAACCAUGUCUGGCUCUCAGGAAGCGCUUCAUAAAUAUUAGCCAUUGUUAUUACCUGUUCUUGUUAUCUGGGAUGGUUUUUCCUAAAUAAUUUUUAUUAAUAAGCAGAAUGGGGAGUUCCCAUCAUG
Phacochoerus africanus (Common warthog) is the source of this 2128-nucleotide long non-coding RNA. RefSeq lists it as uncharacterized. NCBI's taxonomy places the organism in Eukaryota, Metazoa, Chordata, Mammalia, Artiodactyla, Suidae. The transcript is spliced from 3 exons. The record is from RefSeq and is a predicted model, not a curated record.